Salvia miltiorrhiza (redroot sage) is the source of this 795-nucleotide long non-coding RNA. RefSeq lists it as uncharacterized. The transcript is spliced from 2 exons. Lineage: Eukaryota; Viridiplantae; Streptophyta; Magnoliopsida; Lamiales; Lamiaceae. The record is from RefSeq and is a predicted model, not a curated record.
GGCUGAAACCCGGCCCAAACCCGGCUCCCUUUUCUAACCUAAAUAUACACACACAAACACCUCCCAACACACACACAAGCUUAUCUCUCUCUAACUCUAUCUCUCGGCUCUCUCUCUCCCUACUCUCUCUGCUCUCUCUCUUUACUCUCUCUGCUCUCUCUCUUCGAUCUGCCGCCGCCGCUGCCGUUCAACGGCGCCGUCGCCGCCGGCGAGCGGCGCGGCCUCUCCUCCUCUCUCCCUGAACUCUUCCCCCCCUCUUCUCCUCUAUCUCUCUCUCUCAAUCUCGGCCGCUGGAAAGGCACAGCAGCGCAACCACGCCGCCGCUCCGUCGCCUCCGCCUCUCCUCCAUGGCAGAUCCGCCGCCGCUGCAACUGGAUCUCGGCGAGCACCGUCGACUGGAAGCCGCUGGAGCUGCUGCUGCUUCGCCGGGAGUCGAGCUGUCGCCGCCUGGAGCUGCUGCUGCUCGCCCGGAGUCGCCGCUGGCUGGCCUGCGAUCGACGGCCAGCAGCUCGCUGGAGGAGCGCCGCCGUCAGCCGCUGCCGUUGGCAGCAAGAAUCCGGCAGCCGCCUCUCCUGGAGUCGCCGUCGCCGUGAGUCGCUGUGAGGAGCCGAGCACCGUCUCACAAAGAUCGGAGACAACGGCAGGUUCACCGCCGCCGCUCCGUCGCCGGCGACGAGCCACCGCGGCUGCCGCCUCCCUCUGAUUUCGACUCACACACACAGUAGGUUCAAGCCACAAUUUAGUUCACAAAAUAGCAUAGGAUUUUGAGCAGAAAUCAAAUACUGUAAAUGCUUA